This 31-nucleotide non-coding RNA is filed under the name Mus musculus (house mouse). RNAcentral also lists the same sequence under 1 other name. Lineage: Eukaryota; Metazoa; Chordata; Mammalia; Rodentia; Muridae. The record is from RNAcentral.
UACUUCCUGAUCAUGGUGGUGCACCUGAAGU